This is a long non-coding RNA of Piliocolobus tephrosceles (Ugandan red Colobus), 2837 nucleotides long. RefSeq lists it as uncharacterized. The transcript is spliced from 2 exons. The record is from RefSeq and is a predicted model, not a curated record. Lineage: Eukaryota; Metazoa; Chordata; Mammalia; Primates; Cercopithecidae.
UAGUAGAGACGGGGUUUCACAGGGUUAGCCAGGAUGGUCUUGAUCUCCUGACCUCAUGAUCCGCCCGUCUCGGCCUCCCAAAGUGCUGGGAUUACAGGCUUGAGCCACCGCGCCCGGCCGGAUCUCUACUAUCUAAUAACAGCCAGAGGCAUGCUUAAUGAAGAGGCUAUUUAACUUUGGUAAAAGGGUUUUUGUGGUUUUGCUUACAUACCUAUCAUGCCCUGUCUCUCAGCCAGGCAACAGCUGAGAGGACAGUGGCCUGUGUUCCUAGUGCAUCUUGAUGGUGCCAGAGCGGGCAAUACAGAUCUUGCUCUCACAGAAAUGUGGGUGUGCUUUGACCUGUCUGGCAGUUCCUGAAGGUUCAGCUCAGAGGUUUGCCUUUGUUUUGCCCCCUCCACACUAGAACAGCCUCACAGUGCUUAUCAGAAGCAUUACCUGCAGCCAUCUGGGGCUGGGGACAGCAAAUGGGGCAGGCAGCAAACACCAAAAAGCUCGGGAAGGAAGUAACUGGGAGGAAGAUAUGUGGGAGAGAGAAGGCUCAGAAGGGCCCUUGUCUGUACUAAGUAGUCUGGAAGGCCACACGCAUGCCUAGCACUGGGCACAGUUUUGGAAAAGACCUGAGAGGACUCUAGGCCUUCACCUCUGACUGAUCGUUAGGCUCCACAGAAGCAGAAGGUGGAAGCUAAAGCAGAAUUUAGGUGGCCUGGCUAAGCGCUGAAGUAAUGCCCAAGUCAGAACCAAUCUGCAAAGCCUGGGAGAAUUAUCAUUUCUAAUGUUUUAUUUUAUUUUAUUUUUUUAAAUGCAGACAUGGUCUUGCUUUGUUGCCUGGGCUUGUCUUUAACUCCUGGCCUCAAGAAAUCCUCCUGCCUCAACCUUUCAAAGUGAAAGAGUACCUUUUGUUCUUUUGAAUUCAUGACAGUUAAGGAAAUUACGUGAAAUGCUGUACAUAUUCUUUGCCAUCUUUCACUCAGCAUGUUUGUACAAUUCAAAUUGUAGCUGUAGCCUGUUUAUUUUUAUUUCUACACUAAUCCACUACAUGAUUCUAUCAGUUUACACUGUUGGUGAGCACUUGAAGUAAAAAUGAAGACCAAACAUGGGAAAAACAGACUUUUUAUUCAGAGCUUGCUGUAGCAAAGGAAUUAGCCACAAUCUCUUGUGUUUGGCAGACUCAAAGGCAGGUAGGUUUAUAGUGGGGGGGAAAGGGGCAAGGUUCAGGAAUGCUCUGCUUGGAGGGUGUUGGCAUGAGGAAGCUGGAGGCUGACUGGCUGGCCGCAGGUGUCUUACAGGAUUGUUUUGGGGAACCUAUUUGGCUUUCUCUGAUUGGUCCCAAGUUGGAAGAGGGAGCAAAAUGUUGAGAUGAUGACAGUAACUAAGUCUUGACCAUUCUGAAUGGAUCGCUGUGGAGAUUGUGGUUUGGCUUCCAGGACUGGUUGCUGCAGAAGGUGUGGUGAGAGUUCUAUUGUCACAGAAGCUUGUCCAUCGUCCGUGUAUGUGCCUAGUCUCAGAGUUGUUUCCAGUUUCUGACUGCUAGGCUUUUACAUUUCACAUGAAGUAUGAUUUUAGAAAUAAUAUGAACUCUUGCCUGCCAGAACAAGGUCCAGUGAAUUUUAAAGGAAGGAAACACAAUCUAGAACUCGACAGCAAGGGUCAACUAUGAAAAGUUAGGUAUGAAUAUUAUAAUUCCUAGAGCAAGCAUUUUUUCAAAAAUAUAGACAGCCAAUAGAAUACUAAAUUACUCUAUUUGGAAUACUAAUGAACGAGAAACAAAAAGUAGUGAGACAAAAUCACAGGGACAAACAGAAGAAAUAAAAUGGUACACCUAAAUCCAACCACAUCAAUAGUUAUAUCAAAUGUUAACGGUCUAUCUAAGCCAGAAGGCGCAUGGCAAACUUUUUCUGUAAAGAGCCAGAUAUAGGCUUCGCGGACCGUACAGUCUGUGUACUCUGCCUCAAAUUAGCCAUAGGCAAUAUAUAAAUGAGUGAGUAUGGCUGUGUUCCAACAAAACUAUAUUUACAACAACAAACAGGCUGGAUUUAGCCACAGGUUAUAGUUUCCUGACCUUUGCUGUGGAAUUCUAGAGUGUGUUUACUUCCUUUCAAAUUCGUUGGACCUUGUUCUGGCAGGCAGUUAAGUUACUUCUGAAUCUGGGAACUUCUUUUAAUUCUCUUGUUUUUUUUUUUCCAGUUUUGGAAAUUUCCAAGUUUGGAACCACUUAUAAAUUAACAGGCUUUGACUUCUGGCCCCCUUGCUGAGGAAGAGAAGACAAUAAUGGAAGAAGUGUAGAAGGACCCCCUUUCCUCCAAGGCUAACAGACCUCUUCAAAGACCUUCCUACCCCUGGACCACAGCCCGCAUUGGGGAAGAAACUGCCAGAGGGCACAGGUGGUGCUAACCUGGAACAACAGCCCAUUAAAACUGGAGGGUGUGGCCGAGUGGAAAGGUGGAAAGGUGGCCUGAGGGCGCAACUGGAACUCAUCCAUGUAGCUCCACCCCCACCUCACCCCCAAUAAUGACAGGACUAGGACUAGAAGGGAAUGGUUUUCCUGUCACUUUCACUCCAGAGACCCUCCAAAGCCCUCUGUUGGUAAAGCUUAAUGGUCAUUGUGUCAACAGAUGUUUGGAGUCCAGCCCAUGUCCAUCUAUCACAAAGCAGGGCAAAGAAGGGUGGAUUUGGAGCUGAGAGCCAUUGUAUUGAUAACUGGCACAUAAAGUGCUUUAAUUUUUUUCAACUUACUCCCCCCAACACACACACACACACCCCUUCAUAUGUCAAAAUGACACUAAGUUUUCAUUUAAAUCUAUCAUAUAUUGAAAGAGCAAAAAAAAAAAAAAAAAAAA